AUGCUCCUUUAAAUCCUAUAGUCAUCACAUUCUGACAUUUCAUAACACAACCAUCCUUUUCUAAUUCUUCCUCAAUUUGUAUCUAAACAUUGAAUAGCUUUAUUUGAACUUAACGAACUAUCAACAUUCAUAUUCAUUCAUAAAAUCCUACGUACACAUUUCUCUCACACUGUGUCUGACCACUCUCAUAAUCUCACAUCUGGCAACCCUUUUUACUACAGAUGUUCGAGGCGAAUUCAAUACAUGUGAGAACUUGACACAAAUUGCAUUAAUUAAUUAAAACAAAGAAGCAGACAACAUGUAAACUGAGGAAUACUGGUAAAACUGUAUCGUUUCAUUAUCACAAGAUUUCUAAUACUAAUUUGUUUCUUUUCUUCUUUCUUUCAGCUAUUUGAGUUUGGGAAAGGUUGUGGCUUAACUCCACCACAUGACUCUAGGCCCUUCCCAGGUUGGUGUUUCCACUGCGAGCUGACCACUCGCAUACUCUUCUGGUGGAACCCUAAUCAAAUAGGCCAAUGAGCCAAAUUACAUCUCUGUAGUUAGAAACUAAUAAACUAACUUAAACAAAA
Molecule: long non-coding RNA, 569 nt
Organism: Lucilia sericata (common green bottle fly)
Lineage: Eukaryota; Metazoa; Arthropoda; Insecta; Diptera; Calliphoridae
Exons: 2
Source: RefSeq, a predicted model, not a curated record